RNAcentral lists this ribosomal RNA (795 nucleotides) under Pseudorobillarda camelliae-sinensis. Its description in RNAcentral is "partial large subunit ribosomal RNA". It matches the Rfam family "Eukaryotic large subunit ribosomal RNA", at positions 102 to 914 of the family's 3401-position model. The record is from RNAcentral. Lineage: Eukaryota; Fungi; Ascomycota; Dothideomycetes; Pleosporales.
CAAUAGCUCAGAUUUGAAAUCUGGUCCUUUUAGGAUCCGAGUUGUAAUCUGUAGAGGAUGCUUCGGUGUUAGCUCCGGCCUAAGUUCCUUGGAACAGGACGUCAUAGAGGGUGAGAAUCCCGUAUGUGGUCGGUCGUUUUCACCAUGUGAAGCUCCUUCGACGAGUCGAGUUGUUUGGGAAUGCAGCUCUAAAUGGGAGGUAAAUUUCUUCUAAAGCUAAAUAUUGGCCAGAGACCGAUAGCGCACAAGUAGAGUGAUCGAAAGAUGAAAAGCACUUUGGAAAGAGAGUUAAAAAGCACGUGAAAUUGUUGAAAGGGAAGCGCUUGCAACCAGACUUGAUUAUGAUGGCUUAUCCGAGACUCUGGCUCGGUGCACUCCUUCAUGGUCAGGCCAGCAUCAGUUCGGGCGGCUGGUUAAAGGUUCCGGGAAUGUGGCUCUCUUCGGGGAGUGUUAUAGCCCGGUUCACAAUACAGUCAGCCUGGACUGAGGUCCGCGCUUCGGCUAGGAUGCUGGCGUAAUGGUUGUAAGCGGCCCGUCUUGAAACACGGACCAAGGAGUCUAACAUCUGUGCAAGUGUUUGGGUGUAAAACCCAUACGCGUAAUGAAAGUGAACGGAGGUGGGAACCCGCAAGGGCGCACCAUCGACCGAUCCUGAUGUCUUCGGAUGGAUUUGAGUAAGAGCAUAGCUGUUGGGACCCGAAAGAUGGUGAACUAUGCGUGGGUAGGGUGAAGCCAGAGGAAACUCUGGUGGAGGCUCGCAGCGGUUCUGACGUGCAAAUCGAUCGUCAAACCUGC